AAACUUUGGUUUCUCUUUAGAAUCAAUUAAUUUUUUGCCUUUUACUAAAGAUUUUUGUGAAGAGGACCAACCGGGCAUCUUUGGUAAAUAAUAGCUUGAGUUCUUUUCAUUUGGAAAGGC
This is a small nuclear RNA of Rana temporaria (common frog), 120 nucleotides long. RefSeq annotates it as U5 spliceosomal RNA. The transcript has a single exon. Lineage: Eukaryota; Metazoa; Chordata; Amphibia; Anura; Ranidae. The record is from RefSeq and is a predicted model, not a curated record.